GCACCUUACACAGUUCCAGAGUCAGCCUAGGGGUAAAGAGGCUCCCUGCUAUCCACAGAUAAAUUAUCUCCAGGACCCCAGAAGACUCCUUUGGGCUGCUUCCCAUUCAACAUCAUCUUCCCUGACCCCAAGAGGAAAAGCUCCCUUUGGGAUCCCUGGCCUACUGCAGGACUCAGGUUUGAUUUCCCAGCCUUGUUGCUGGUCCAAGUCUUCAUGUCCUGUUUUGAGAGCUACUCCUGUCAAAGAAAACACUUUUUAAAAAUAAUUUGCUGUAAUCCCAGCACUUUGGGAGGCCAAGGUGGGUGGAUCACAAGGUCAGGAGUUCGAGACCAGCCUGGCCAAUAUGGUAAAACCCCCUCUCUACUAAAAAUGCAAAAAUUAGCCGGGUGUGGUGGUUCACACCUGUAGUCCCAGCUACUUGGGAGGCUGAGGCAGAAGAAUUGCUUGAACCUGGGAGGCGAAGGUUUCAGCGAGCCGAGAUCAUGCCACUGCUCUCCAGCCAGGGCGACAGAGCAGGACUCUGUCUCAAAAAAUAAAUAAAUAAAUAAAUAAAUUGCACAAAGGCAUUGUUUGGUGGUUUUGCAGUCUUUGCAGUAUCCUUGCAGAUCACAUUUCUGAUAUUGGCAUUUGCUCUCAGGACAACCUCUGUUUUAUUUUACGAUCCUUAGUUCUCUAGCUGUUUGCACACAUGAUUUUUUUCAGGUAUCUGGGAAGAUCCCUAUUUUGAUUUGCCUGAUA
RNAcentral lists this long non-coding RNA (738 nucleotides) under Homo sapiens (human). Its description in RNAcentral is "HSALNT0057669". The record is from RNAcentral. Lineage: Eukaryota; Metazoa; Chordata; Mammalia; Primates; Hominidae.